RNAcentral lists this transfer RNA (75 nucleotides) under Lentzea cavernae. RNAcentral describes it as "tRNA-Pro". The record is from RNAcentral. Lineage: Bacteria; Bacillati; Actinomycetota; Actinomycetes; Pseudonocardiales; Pseudonocardiaceae.
CGGAUGCGAGGGAGACGGCAACCCACCUCAUUUGGGAUGAGGACACACCGCGUUCGACUCGCGGGCAUCCGACCA